GAUGAACGCUGGCGGCGUGCCUAAUACAUGCAAGUCGAGCGAACGGACGAGAAGCUUGCUUUUCUGAUGUUAGCGGCGGACGGGUGAGUAACACGUGGAUAACCUACCUAUAAGACUGGGAUAACUUCGGGAGACCGGAGCUAAUACCGGAUAAUAUUUUGAACCGCAUGGUUCAAAAGUGAAAAACGGUCUUGCUGUCACUUAUAGAUGGAUCCGCGCUGCAUUAGCUAGUUGGUAAGGUAACGGCUUACCAAAGCAACGAUGCAUAGCCGACCUGAGAGGGUGAUCGGCCACACUGGAACUGAGACACGGUCCAGACUCCUACGGGAGGCAGCAGUAGGGAAUCUUCCGCAAUGGGCGAAAGCCUGACGGAGCAACGCCGCGUGAGUGAUGAAGGUCUUCGGAUCGUAAAACUCUGUUAUUAGGGAAGAACAUAUGUGUAAGUAACUGUGCACAUCUUGACGGUACCUAAUCAGAAAGCCACGGCUAACUACGUG
RNAcentral lists this ribosomal RNA (497 nucleotides) under uncultured bacterium. Its description in RNAcentral is "partial 16S ribosomal RNA". It matches the Rfam family "Bacterial small subunit ribosomal RNA", at positions 28 to 507 of the family's 1533-position model. The record is from RNAcentral.